AUAAGUCGAACCUUUCACCAUCAACUGGUGGAAGUGUAUAUAAGAAAAGCUUCAUAUUAAAAAUGUUUAAGUUAAUUUUAGAAAUCAAACUGAGAAUAAGUAACAGAAUAAUUAAAAGAGAUAAAAACAGUGAGAUGAAGAGAAUGAGAUACAUAUGAAAGAAAAAAAUAUAAAGAGAUAAGGAAAGAGAGAAAUACAACAUAUAUUUAUACAAGUUUGACCUAACCACUUGCCCUACUCUUGUUCCCAAGUGUUUCCUCUUGAGAGUUUCCACUAUAACCAGAUGUGAGAUUUUUACAAGUUAUAACCACAAACCUCCUUACAACCAAAUAUGAGAUUUUACACUGGAUAAUCUCUAAACCUAACAUGAUAUUUUACAUUGUGCUAGUCUUAGAACCAAACUGAGCUUUUACACCAGGCUGAACUCAGAAAUAAAAAC
RNAcentral lists this long non-coding RNA (439 nucleotides) under Lathyrus oleraceus (garden pea). RNAcentral's name for it is "Pisum sativum (pea) long non-coding RNA (PSAT_LNC021599)". Lineage: Eukaryota; Viridiplantae; Streptophyta; Magnoliopsida; Fabales; Fabaceae. The record is from RNAcentral.